GCCAGUGUGCUGUAGUGGUUUGAACGUUGGACUGAGACUCUUGGAGAUCAGGGUUCAAUUCCCCGCUCAAGCA
Molecule: non-coding RNA, 73 nt
Organism: Phrynosoma platyrhinos (Desert horned lizard)
Lineage: Eukaryota; Metazoa; Chordata; Lepidosauria; Squamata; Phrynosomatidae
Source: the annotation of a GenBank genome assembly